CGGGGUUCGCCCACGGGUCGGCGGGCCGGGACGGUUGCUGCCCGUCCGGGUCCUGCGGUUCGUUCGGCCCGGUCAUCGUCGCC
RNAcentral lists this transfer RNA (83 nucleotides) under Rhodococcus coprophilus. Its description in RNAcentral is "tRNA-Ser(gct)". The record is from RNAcentral. Lineage: Bacteria; Bacillati; Actinomycetota; Actinomycetes; Mycobacteriales; Nocardiaceae.